This 77-nucleotide transfer RNA is filed under the name Pseudomonadota bacterium. Its description in RNAcentral is "tRNA-Val". It matches the Rfam family "tRNA". Rfam says of the family: Transfer RNA (tRNA) molecules are approximately 80 nucleotides in length. Their secondary structure includes four short double-helical elements and three loops (D, anti-codon, and T loops). RNAcentral also lists the same sequence under 5 other names. Lineage: Bacteria; Pseudomonadati; Pseudomonadota. The record is from RNAcentral.
GGGCGAUUAGCUCAGUCGGUCAGAGCGCACGGUUCACAUCCGUGAGGUCACUGGUUCGAGCCCAGUAUCGCCCACCA